This 534-nucleotide ribosomal RNA is filed under the name Colletotrichum gloeosporioides. RNAcentral's name for it is "eukaryotic LSU rRNA". It matches the Rfam family "Eukaryotic large subunit ribosomal RNA", at positions 100 to 667 of the family's 3401-position model. The record is from RNAcentral. Lineage: Eukaryota; Fungi; Ascomycota; Sordariomycetes; Glomerellales; Glomerellaceae.
GGCAACAGCUCAAAUUUGAAAUCUGGCCCCAGGCCCGAGUUGUAAUUUGCAGAGGAUGCUUUUGGUGCGGUGCCUUCCAAGUUCCCUAGAACGGGACGCCAGAGAGGGUGAGAGCCCCGUACAGUUGGACACCAAGCCUUUGUAAAGCUCCUUCGACGAGUCGAGUAGUUUGGGAAUGCUGCUCAAAAUGGGAGGUAUAUUUCUUCUAAAGCUAAAUACCGGCCAGAGACCGAUAGCGCACAAGUAGAGUGAUCGAAAGAUGAAAAGCACUUUGAAAAGAGGGUUAAACAGCACGUGAAAUUGUUAAAAGGGAAGCGCUUGUGACCAGACUUGCGUCCGGUGAAUCACCCAGCCCUCGCGGCUGGGGCACUUCGCCGGCUCAGGCCAGCAUCAGCUCGCUGUCGGGGACAAAAGCUUCAGGAACGUAGCUCUCUUCGGGGAGUGUUAUAGCCUGUUGCACAAUACCCUUCGGCGGGCUGAGGUACGCGCUCCGCAAGGAUGCUGGCAUAAUGGUCAUCAGCGAAAUCGUCGACC